GGCUAACCCAAACUGCACCCCCAAGGACUAAAGCUAUAAGAGCUAAAACUUAACGAUUAUGGCGGCUACUUACAAUCAGGGGAACUUACCAGAUAAUCGAUGAUCCACGAGUGAUUGUUACUUUACUUUAUAGCUUGUAUACCGCCGUUUAGUGGCUGGCUGAGUCUGCUACGAAUCCUUAAUAGAAUACAUCAGGUUAUGGUGCAGCCGAUGGUAAAGAACUAGGCGAGUUACAGUAACCUUUUCUUGCAGAGAAUGUAAUGAAAUGUUAGUUUGAAGAUGGACUUGAUAGUAAAUUAUAAUACAAAUACUAAUUGAACCAAAUAUAAGUAGUGU
This 336-nucleotide ribosomal RNA is filed under the name Siphonaria sp. UF 375861. Its description in RNAcentral is "partial 12S ribosomal RNA". Lineage: Eukaryota; Metazoa; Mollusca; Gastropoda; Siphonariida; Siphonariidae. RNAcentral also lists the same sequence under 2 other names. The record is from RNAcentral.